Molecule: long non-coding RNA, 214 nt
Filed under: Lathyrus oleraceus (garden pea)
Lineage: Eukaryota; Viridiplantae; Streptophyta; Magnoliopsida; Fabales; Fabaceae
Description: Pisum sativum (pea) long non-coding RNA (PSAT_LNC031238)
Source: RNAcentral
GACACUAGGAUACCGAAUACUAGGUAUAAAAUGACGACCAAUCAAAAGGAGAGACAAUCAUUACCAACCAAGAGUAAAAUGAAAGAUAACUCGCUGGGGGAUACAUUGACAAAGGUAAUGAUCCGGGAGAUAUAUCACCGGUUACUGGGAGAUAUACUCAAAAAGUGAAGGAAUAUCAAUACCAAAUAUUGGAUAAAGAUAACCAACAAAUAGG